GGCUAGUCCAAAGGUAGUGAGUUAUCUCAACGAACUAUUCACUAAGUCAGUUACAGAGUCAACGCCUUAUUCUACUCAUCCCUCUUCUCACUACUGUACUUGACUAGUCUUAA
This 113-nucleotide Y RNA is filed under the name Carlito syrichta (Philippine tarsier). RNAcentral describes it as "Y RNA (ENSTSYG00000030770.1)". It matches the Rfam family "Y RNA". Rfam says of the family: Y RNAs are components of the Ro ribonucleoprotein particle (Ro RNP), in association with Ro60 and La proteins. The Y RNAs and Ro60 and La proteins are well conserved, but the function of the Ro RNP is not known. In humans the RNA component can be one of four small RNAs -- hY1, hY3, hY4 and hY5. The record is from Rfam by way of RNAcentral. Lineage: Eukaryota; Metazoa; Chordata; Mammalia; Primates; Tarsiidae.